This 237-nucleotide long non-coding RNA is filed under the name Chinchilla lanigera (long-tailed chinchilla). RNAcentral describes it as "lncRNA (ENSCLAG00000023934.1)". The record is from RNAcentral. Lineage: Eukaryota; Metazoa; Chordata; Mammalia; Rodentia; Chinchillidae.
GAGCACCACGCCAAGAAGCUCUUGCCAGUGUUGGUUUUCAGGGAAAGAAACAGCUAAGGUGGUGAGGGCUCACACAUGCAGAUCUACAUUAAGCUGGGAAGAAAAAUUCCCCCCGAAAGGAAGCAGCCCGUAGGCACACCGUGGGGUGAGGCUGCAGUACCUGGGUGAGGGUGUGUGAGCACGGGAGGGAUGCCGAGUACCCGGUUCUGUGUCAAUCCCCCAGGAGGAGAAAGGUAU